This is a non-coding RNA of Ameiurus melas (black bullhead), 75 nucleotides long. NCBI's taxonomy places the organism in Eukaryota, Metazoa, Chordata, Actinopteri, Siluriformes, Ictaluridae. The record is from the annotation of a GenBank genome assembly.
GGCACACGUUGGCUUAGUGGUUAGUACAUUCGCCUCACACCUCCAGGGUCCGGGGUUCGAUUCCCACCGUGGCCG